RNAcentral lists this ribosomal RNA (484 nucleotides) under uncultured bacterium. Its description in RNAcentral is "partial 16S ribosomal RNA". The stretch from base 13 to 369 matches the Rfam family "Bacterial small subunit ribosomal RNA", at positions 40 to 399 of the family's 1533-position model. The record is from RNAcentral.
AUUGAACGCUGGCGGCAUGCUUUACACAUGCAAGUCGAACGGCAGCGCGGGCUUCGGCCUGGCGGCGAGUGGCGAACGGGUGAGUAAUGCAUCGGAACGUGCCCAGUAGUGGGGGAUAGCCCGGCGAAAGCCGGAUUAAUACCGCAUACGACCUGAGGGUGAAAGCGGGGGACCGAAAGGCCUCGCGCUAUUGGAGCGGCCGAUGUCGGAUUAGCUAGUUGGUGGGGUAAAGGCUUACCAAGGCGACGAUCCGUAGCUGGUCUGAGAGGACGACCAGCCACGUGGGAAAGGGACAAGGGCCCAGCCUCAGAGGGGAGGAGGAGGGGGGAAUUUGGGAAAAAGGGGGAAAACCGUGACCCAGCAAGGCCGGGGGGGGAAAGAGGGCGUGGGGGUGGAAAGGGGUUUUUGUGGGAGAAAAAACCCUGGGGGCUAAAACCGGGGGGGGAGAAGGGACCGGAAAAAAAAAACACCGAAAAACUAGGUG